This 502-nucleotide ribosomal RNA is filed under the name Paramycosphaerella marksii. RNAcentral's name for it is "eukaryotic LSU rRNA". The stretch from base 139 to 292 matches the Rfam family "5.8S ribosomal RNA". The record is from RNAcentral. Lineage: Eukaryota; Fungi; Ascomycota; Dothideomycetes; Mycosphaerellales; Mycosphaerellaceae.
GAGGGUUCUGGCCCGACCUCCAACCCUUUGUGAAUCAAACCUGUUGCUUCGGGGGCGACCCUGCCGUUCGCGGCGCGGCGCCCCCGGGGGAAAUCAAACACUGCGUCAAUUUGUGUCGGAGUACUUGUUAAUAAACAAAACUUUCAACAACGGAUCUCUUGGUUCUGGCAUCGAUGAAGAACGCAGCGAAAUGCGAUAAGUAAUGUGAAUUGCAGAAUUCAGUGAAUCAUCGAAUCUUUGAACGCACAUUGCGCCCCGUGGUAUUCCGCGGGGCAUGCCUGUUCGAGCGUCAUUUCACCACUCGAGUCUGACUCGGUAUUGGGCGUCGCGUUUCGAUGCGCGCCUUAAAGUUUCCGGCUGGACCGUCCGUCUCCGAGCGUUGUGGCAUCUGUCUCGCUAGGGAGCCGCGGAGGGCGUUGGCCGUUAAACACCCCAUCAAAGGUUGACCUCGGAUCAGGUAGGGAUACCCGCUGAACUUAAGCAUAUCAAUAAGCGGAGGAAA